Molecule: ribosomal RNA, 349 nt
Filed under: Strioterebrum sp. MNHN IM 2013-52322
Lineage: Eukaryota; Metazoa; Mollusca; Gastropoda; Neogastropoda; Terebridae
Description: partial 12S ribosomal RNA
Source: RNAcentral
ACCNGAGUACUAUGAAUAUUAAAAAUUUAAAACUCAAAGAACUUGGCGGUGUUUUAGACCACUUAGGGGAAUCUGUCUCAUAAUCGAUAAUCCACGAUAUACCUGACCUUUUUUUGUUUUCAGUUUGUAUACCGUUGUCGUCAGGUAACUUUUUAGAAACUAGAAGUUAGCAACAGAAAUUAAAGAUAGUUCAAUACGUCAAAUCAAGGUGCAGCUAAUAAAAAGGGGGGGAUGGGUUACAAUUAUAGAAUUAUAAUUACGGAUAUAUAUAUGAAAUUGUAUUAAUGUAAGGUGGACUUAAAAGUAAAUUAGAAUAUAUAGAUAAUUUGAAUAAGGCUCUGAAACGUGU